UACAGAGGGUGCGAGCGUUGUUCGGAAUUAUUGGGCGUAAAGGGCGCGUAGGCGGUGCGGUAAGUCACCUGUGAAAUAUCCCGGCUCAACCGGGAGGGUGCAGUGUAGACUAGGGAGCUAGAGGUCGGUAGAGGGGGGUGGAAUUGCUGGUGUAGCGGUGAAAUGCGUAGAGAUCAGCAGGAACACCCGUGGCGAAGGCGGCCCCCUGGGCCGUACCUGACGCUGAGUGCGCGAAAGCCAGGGGAGCAAACGGG
RNAcentral lists this ribosomal RNA (254 nucleotides) under uncultured bacterium. RNAcentral's name for it is "partial 16S ribosomal RNA". It matches the Rfam family "Bacterial small subunit ribosomal RNA", at positions 524 to 776 of the family's 1533-position model. The record is from RNAcentral.